GCUCCAAUAGCGUAUAUUAAAGUUGUUGCAGUUAAAAAGCUCGUAGUCGGAUGUCGGGGCGCGGCGAGCCGGUCUGCCGGAAUGGUGUGUACUGGCCGCUCGUCCUUCUUCCGGUGUGUCGGCGGCUUCCUUAACUGGGCGGCGUUUCCGGCUCCGGAUCGUUUACUUUGAAAAAUUAGAGUGUUUAAAGCAGACUUACG
Molecule: ribosomal RNA, 200 nt
Filed under: uncultured eukaryote
Lineage: Eukaryota
Description: partial 18S ribosomal RNA
Rfam family: Eukaryotic small subunit ribosomal RNA
Source: RNAcentral